RNAcentral lists this ribosomal RNA (510 nucleotides) under Cryocola sp. Its description in RNAcentral is "bacterial SSU rRNA". It matches the Rfam family "Bacterial small subunit ribosomal RNA", at positions 576 to 1084 of the family's 1533-position model. Lineage: Bacteria; Bacillati; Actinomycetota; Actinomycetes; Micrococcales; Microbacteriaceae. The record is from RNAcentral.
CGGUCUGUCGCGUCUGCUGUGAAAUCCCGAGGCUCAACCUCGGGCCUGCAGUGGGUACGGGCAGACUAGAGUGCGGUAGGGGAGAUUGGAAUUCCUGGUGUAGCGGUGGAAUGCGCAGAUAUCAGGAGGAACACCGAUGGCGAAGGCAGAUCUCUGGGCCGUAACUGACGCUGAGGAGCGAAAGCGUGGGGAGCGAACAGGAUUAGAUACCCUGGUAGUCCACGCCGUAAACGUUGGGCGCUAGAUGUGGGGACCAUUCCACGGUUUCCGUGUCGCAGCUAACGCAUUAAGCGCCCCGCCUGGGGAGUACGGCCGCAAGGCUAAAACUCAAAGGAAUUGACGGGGGCCCGCACAAGCGGCGGAGCAUGCGGAUUAAUUCGAUGCAACGCGAAGAACCUUACCAAGGCUUGACAUAUACGAGAACGGGCUAGAAAUAGUCAACUCUUUGGACACUCGUAAACAGGUGGUGCAUGGUUGUCGUCAGCUCGUGUCGUGAGAUGUUGGGUUAAG